GACGAACGCUGGCGGCGUGCUUAACACAUGCAAGUCGAACGGAAAGGCCCUGCUUUUGUGGGGUGCUCGAGUGGCGAACGGGUGAGUAACACGUGAGUAACCUGCCCUUGACUUUGGGAUAACUUCAGGAAACUGGGGCUAAUACCGGAUAGGAGCUCCUGCUGCAUGGUGGGGGUUGGAAAGUUUCGGCGGUUGGGGAUGGACUCGCGGCUUAUCAGCUUGUUGGUGGGGUAGUGGCUUACCAAGGCUUUGACGGGUAGCCGGCCUGAGAGGGUGACCGGCCACAUUGGGACGGAGAUACGGCACAGACUCCUACGGGAGGCAGCAGUGGGGAAUAUUGCACAAUGGGCGGAAGCCUGAUGCAGCAACGCCGCGUGCGGGAUGACGGCCUUCGGGUUGUAAACCGCUUUCGCCUGUGACGAAGCGUGAGUGACGGUAAUGGGUAAAGAAGCACCGGCUAACUACGUG
This 468-nucleotide ribosomal RNA is filed under the name uncultured bacterium. RNAcentral describes it as "partial 16S ribosomal RNA". It matches the Rfam family "Bacterial small subunit ribosomal RNA", at positions 28 to 507 of the family's 1533-position model. The record is from RNAcentral.